GCGGCGGUAGUCUAGCUUGGACUAGGACGCCGGCCUGCCACGCCGGAGGUCCCGGGUUCGAGUCCCGGCCGCCGCA
Molecule: transfer RNA, 76 nt
Filed under: Acidilobus saccharovorans 345-15
Lineage: Archaea; Thermoproteati; Thermoproteota; Thermoprotei; Acidilobales; Acidilobaceae
Rfam family: tRNA
About the family: Transfer RNA (tRNA) molecules are approximately 80 nucleotides in length. Their secondary structure includes four short double-helical elements and three loops (D, anti-codon, and T loops).
Source: Rfam by way of RNAcentral